This 112-nucleotide ribosomal RNA is filed under the name Caerostris darwini. Lineage: Eukaryota; Metazoa; Arthropoda; Arachnida; Araneae; Araneidae. The record is from RNAcentral.
AACGGCCAUACCAUGCUGAAUAUACCGGUUCUCGUUAGAUCACCGAAGUCAAGCAUCACUGGGCGCGGUCUGUACUUGGGUGGGUGACCACCUGGGAACACCGCGUGCCGUU